UACGGAAGGCAGCAGUGGGGGAAUAUUGCACAAUGGGCGCAAGCCUGAUGCAGCCAUGCCGCGUGUAUGAAGAAGGCCUUCGGGUUGUAAAGUACUUUCAGUCGUGAGGAAGGUGUUAAGGUUAAUAACCUUAGCAAUUGACGUUAGCGACAGAAGAAGCACCGGCUAACUCCGUGCCAGCAGCCGCGGUAAUACGGAGGGUGCGAGCGUUAAUCGGAAUUACUGGGCGUAAAGGGCACGCAGGCGGUUAAUUAAGUUGGAUGUGAAAUCCCCGGGCUUAACCUGGGAAUGGCAUUCAAGACUGGUUAGCUAGAGUCUUGUAGAGGGGGUAGAAUUCCAUGUGUAGCGGUGAAAUGCGUAGAGAUGUGGAGGAAUACCGGUGGCGAAGGCGGCCCCUGGACAAAGACUGACGCUCAUGUGCGAAAGCGUGGGGAGCAAAC
This 440-nucleotide ribosomal RNA is filed under the name uncultured bacterium. RNAcentral's name for it is "bacterial SSU rRNA". It matches the Rfam family "Bacterial small subunit ribosomal RNA", at positions 340 to 773 of the family's 1533-position model. The record is from RNAcentral.